UGGGAUCCAGCUAGGUCAUC
RNAcentral lists this unclassified non-coding RNA (20 nucleotides) under Mus musculus (house mouse). RNAcentral's name for it is "oocyte_clustered_small_RNA6607". The record is from RNAcentral. Lineage: Eukaryota; Metazoa; Chordata; Mammalia; Rodentia; Muridae.